This is a long non-coding RNA of Lycium ferocissimum, 701 nucleotides long. RefSeq lists it as uncharacterized. The transcript is spliced from 2 exons. NCBI's taxonomy places the organism in Eukaryota, Viridiplantae, Streptophyta, Magnoliopsida, Solanales, Solanaceae. The record is from RefSeq and is a predicted model, not a curated record.
AUCAAUAGGACGCAAAUUGGCCGCCGUCCAAGAUCCCCAGAACCUAAGAUCUUUUCAUCCCAGCCGCCACACCCCUCAGGCCCUCCUCACCCGCUUCCCCUUUGCUACGUCAAUCAAAUAUCAAUUUGGAGUUGUUCAAGCUUUAAUUUUCUUUCCUCUCCAUUUGUUGAUCACAAGUAUUUUUACUUUUCUCUUUAAGUUGCUAUAACCUUAGACAUUAAAGCAAUUAUCUUAUUUAUGCAUUUAUUUAUUUAUUUAUGUAGAUUAGUUCUCAUCGGUUUAAGGUAAGCAAUGGUGAUUCCAUUUAAAUUGAGAGUGAAGUUCUGUGAACUCGACAAUAAGGCAAAUAUGUGGAAUUAUUAGAGCAACAAUGAUAAGUGAGCGAUAUAUAUUGGUCAAACUACGGUACAAUUGGAGACAAUGACGGAAGAAAAAGGAGAAGAAUAUGCAGCUUUGUAUCUCAAGCAAGACACUACUAUUGUAGUUGACAUAGAAAAUUAUGUAUAGUGAAUAUUUUGAAAUGUAACUAUGUAAUUAUGUGUAACUUGAAACCUAUUUUGGAAUCUAAAUUUUUUGAUUUUUUGCUACGUUAUAGAAAUUAUUGAGUUAACAAUGCUUAUGGCAUAUUCUUCAAUUUGUAGCAAUGGAGUUUCUGUAAUCAUGACUAAACCUAUAUAUAAUUGCCCAAACUACGGUUAUAC